This 122-nucleotide small nucleolar RNA is filed under the name Catagonus wagneri (Chacoan peccary). Its description in RNAcentral is "Small nucleolar RNA SNORA11 (ENSCWAG00000016832.1)". It matches the Rfam family "Small nucleolar RNA SNORA11". Rfam says of the family: U107 (SNORA11) is a member of the H/ACA class of snoRNAs that guide the sites of modification of uridines to pseudouridines. This snoRNA was identified by RT-PCR from blood cells and its expression confirmed by Northern blot analysis. The record is from Rfam by way of RNAcentral. Lineage: Eukaryota; Metazoa; Chordata; Mammalia; Artiodactyla; Tayassuidae.
GGGGUGUGUUCAGAGCAGAGGGCCUGAAGUAGUGGCUUCUCUGUUUACGACACACUCCAUAGGAAUCUGGGUUCAAGGGGCACAAAACUCAUAAUCUUACUUUGAAUAAACACCCAGCACGU